Long non-coding RNA from Haliotis rubra (blacklip abalone), 125 nucleotides. RefSeq lists it as uncharacterized. The transcript is spliced from 3 exons. The record is from RefSeq and is a predicted model, not a curated record. NCBI's taxonomy places the organism in Eukaryota, Metazoa, Mollusca, Gastropoda, Lepetellida, Haliotidae.
AUAACUGUUACAGUAGCAUGAACUAUUUCAAAUAGACAUCGCUAUCAACAGGCACUGUCACUUUCGUAACUGCUACAGUAAAAUGAACUAUUUCAAAUAGACAUCGCUAUCAACAGGCACUGUCA